This is a small nucleolar RNA of Pelodiscus sinensis (Chinese soft-shelled turtle), 131 nucleotides long. It matches the Rfam family "Small nucleolar RNA SNORA5". From Rfam's summary of the family: ACA5 is a member of the H/ACA class of snoRNA that guide the sites of modification of uridines to pseudouridines. The record is from Rfam. Lineage: Eukaryota; Metazoa; Chordata; Testudines; Trionychidae.
UGCAGCCUUGUCAAGUUCAGUACCCGCCUCUGCCCUGCUGGGGGCUGGCCCCGUCGGCUGCCACAGCUUCACCUGUCGUUCAUGGGCCCCCCGGCUCUGGCGCUGGGGAUAGAAAUACGCGCCAGCUGCCC